RNAcentral lists this ribosomal RNA (207 nucleotides) under uncultured bacterium. Its description in RNAcentral is "partial 16S ribosomal RNA". It matches the Rfam family "Bacterial small subunit ribosomal RNA", at positions 568 to 774 of the family's 1533-position model. The record is from RNAcentral.
CACGUAGGCGGACUCUUAAGUCAGGGGUGAAAUCCCGGGGCUCAACCUCGGAACUGCCUUUGAUACUGUGAGUCUCGAGACCGGAAGAGGUGAGUGGAAUUCCUAGUGUAGAGGUGAAAUUCGUAGAUAUUAGGAAGAACACCAGUGGCGAAGGCGGCUCACUGGUCCGGUUCUGACGCUGAGGUGCGAAAGCGUGGGGAGCAAACA